GCGUGAGGAACCUGCCUCAAAGAGGGGGACAACAGUUGGAAACGACUGCUAAUACCGCAUAAGCCCACGGCUCGGCAUCGAGCAGAGGGAAAAGGAGCAAUCCGCUUUGAGAUGGCCUCGCGUCCGAUUAGCUAGUUGGUGAGGUAACGGCCCACCAAGGCGACGAUCGGUAGCCGGACUGAGAGGUUGAACGGCCACAUUGGGACUGAGACACGGCCCAGACUCCUACGGGAGGCAGCAGUGGGGAAUAUUGCACAAUGGGGGAAACCCUGAUGCAGCGACGCCGCGUGGAGGAAGAAGGUCUUCGGAUUGUAAACUCCUGUUGUUGAGGAAGAUAAUGACGGUACUCAACAAGGAAGUGACGGCUAACUACGUGCCAGCAGCCGCGGUAAAACGUAGGUCACAAGCGUUGUCCGGAAUUACUGGGUGUAAAGGGAGCGCAGGCGGGCGAUCAAGUU
Molecule: ribosomal RNA, 458 nt
Filed under: uncultured bacterium
Lineage: Bacteria
Description: bacterial SSU rRNA
Rfam family: Bacterial small subunit ribosomal RNA
Source: RNAcentral